RNAcentral lists this ribosomal RNA (500 nucleotides) under uncultured Glomus. RNAcentral's name for it is "SSU rRNA". It matches the Rfam family "Eukaryotic small subunit ribosomal RNA", at positions 591 to 1092 of the family's 1831-position model. The record is from RNAcentral. Lineage: Eukaryota; Fungi; Glomeromycota; Glomeromycetes; Glomerales; Glomeraceae.
CCAAUAGCGUAUAUUAAAGUUGUUGCAGUUAAAAAGCUCGUAGUUGAAUUUCGGGGUCAGUAGGUUGGUCGUGCCACCGGUACGUACUGGUCUCACUGAUUCCUCCUUCCUGAUGAGCUGUAAUGCCAUUAAUUUGGUGUUGCAGGGAAUCUGGACUGUUACUUUGAAAAAAUUAGAGUGUUUAAAGCAGGCUAACGCUUGAAUACAGUAGCAUGGAAUAAUGAAAUAGGACGUUCGAUUCUAUUUUUUUGGUUUCUAGGAUCGAUGUAAUGAUUAAUAGGGAUAGUUGGGGGCAUUAGUAUUCAAUUGUCAGAGGUGAAAUUCUUGGAUUUAUUGAAGACUAACUACUGCGAAAGCAUUUGCCAAGGAUGUUUUCAUUAAUCAAGAACGAAAGUUAGGGGAUCGAAGACGAUCAGAUACCGUCGUAGUCUUAACCAUAAACUAUGCCGACUAGGGAUCGGAUGAUGUUAAUUUUUUAAUGACUCAUUCGGCGCCUUACG